Molecule: long non-coding RNA, 430 nt
Organism: Cotesia glomerata
Lineage: Eukaryota; Metazoa; Arthropoda; Insecta; Hymenoptera; Braconidae
Exons: 3
Source: RefSeq, a predicted model, not a curated record
AUCUUAAAAAAUAAAAUAUUUUUCUUUAUUCACGGCCGAAAGCACGUACUUGCUACUUCUGUUGGGAAUCAGAAAGACCGACAUUUAUGCUUUGGUAGGGGCGCGCAUGCGCGCUGCUCUAGUGCGCUGGAAGAAACUAGUUGUGCACUGAAUUGAUGUACGAGGCAGCGAAAAAAAAGUAUUCACCAGAGCUGACGCGGUUUAUUGUGCACUCAGGCCUAAACUUAAAAUUGCUUUUGUGGGUUCUUAUGUCGUUGUGUGUUGAAAUUUAUAAUCUAAAAAAUUAUAUCGAGUGAAAAAUAAUAAAAAUUUUAAAAAAUGAAUGCGUUAUCAUCAUCAAAAGGAAAUUUUAAGGAAUUUCGAUACGGAAGCUAAUCUAAUUAUAAGAACAGAUACGUUACCUAAAAAGUCUGCAGAUAAAUAUUUACAC